Long non-coding RNA from Mus musculus (house mouse), 2041 nucleotides. RefSeq annotates it as predicted gene, 53542. The transcript is spliced from 3 exons. The record is from RefSeq and is a predicted model, not a curated record. NCBI's taxonomy places the organism in Eukaryota, Metazoa, Chordata, Mammalia, Rodentia, Muridae.
AAAUGGGUUCUACAUGCUACGUGAGGUCUAUCGAGAUCUGCAUGCUACAUGAGGGCUAUCCCAGAGUCUCUUUUGCUCUAAAGUGAUCACCUACAUUUUAUGCUGUUUACUUCAAUAAAGUAUCUGAAAGGGACUUCAAAGAAACCAGAUCUUUGUCCCGCAGAAUUUCCAGUGUUCCGGAUUUGGCUGAGCUGUAUCACGCUGGUGGGAUUUAGCGUGCUCUUUUGUAUUUGACAGCUAUUUCUGGGGAGAGUUCCUUGACCUGGGUUUUUCUGAGAUUACCUCAUCAUGAGACUUUGAUUUCCUGAUUCUGGCAACUACCUAGAAGAGGUGACAUUGUAUCACAUGGCACAGGCUGCCAUGGUGACUUGUUGCCUUGCUGUGUGGUUAACUGUUUCUUGGUGAGGGUAUCUGGUAGGUUUUACCACCGAGCCCUGUUUUCAAUUAGUAAGAAGUCUCCAAAGAAAUACUUAGAGACUAUUUCACAUUUUUCUCCUAGUAGGAUUUUUGCCCGCUGGUCUUAGCAUUCAGUGGUGAUUCUUGCCAGAAUGACUUGGUCCUGCACCGAUAACCAAAUGUUGACACUCUGAUCCUCUCAUUCCCUCUAGAUUCAUUGAUGAGCAUCGUAAAGUAAGGAAAAGCCUCCCCUUCACACAUUUAUCUAUCAUUUAGAUCAGUGUGGGCUCAUGGGUUCCGAUUUUAUGCUGUAGAUUAUAACCCAGAACAUCACUAGUCACUUUAUUUGUCUCUCAAGGAUAGUUGCUUUGUUUAUAUAUACUUACUUAGUCAUUUCACACCUGCAUGUGUAUAUUUGUGAGCACCCGUGUGCUGUGGCAGUGUGUGGAGAUCAGACGACAGUGUGGAUUCCUGGGGCUGAGCUAGGACUAUCAGGCUUAGUGGCAAGUGCAUUUACCCACCAAGCCAUCCCUCCAACCCUUGUCUUCUCAUUAUCACCCCUCUGUUGCCAGGACAGACUGUGUCCUCUAAAAAAAAAAAGCCCCAUCAAUCAAGUCCACCUUGUGUUUUCUCUGCACCGUCUCCGGGGUUUGUGUUUAUGGAACCAAAAACUCCAUGGAGACUUAAUUAACCUUGUAGUGGAGAAUGGUGUUCAGAAGUGCAUUCUGAGAGCCUGCUGCUGAGGACUCAUAGACCACAAGACUCUUCUGCACACACAGCUAGGAUGCACAUGUAUGUGUGUGUGUUUGUGUGCACCCGCUUUAAAAGGACAAGAGAAGGAGAGGGAAAGGGAGGAGAGAGAGGAAGACUAUCUUUUCUCCACAGUACCCAGAGGACUGUGAAGAGCAGAGCAGAGCCUCGCAGAACCUUCCAGUGAAACAAAGCUUUGACUCCUUUCCACCCAUCCAGUCAUUCUGCUGCGGUCAACUAGGAGAGACCAGAGCUGUAUGUGAAAGCCCAAGACUUUCAUUCUGCAAUGGAGGAGCUGCUAAGAAGUUCCUUUCCUAGUCCAGUACAACCCAGCCAGGCUCUACCUAACUCAAAAGCCAACUAGAGAGGCCACUGACCCCGGAAUUGAGUGGACUCUGUCAAGUCUCAUGUGUAAAGGAACAAAAGUCCCUGACCAAAGCGGGGCCUGCAGGAAUGCAGGUCUUCUGUGGCAUGCUGUUUACCAGACAUCUGGACAGACCUGCAAAAGAGAGGGUCUCUUGAGGAACCUGAAGUUGACUGUUGCAGCUCUGCCAGAUGACCAGCUGGGUUCCACCAUCUCUGCUUUCAGCAUUCAGGUUACAGAAAUAUACAGCCACAAUCAGGUUUCACUCGAGUGUUGGGAGUCCAAACUUCAAACUAAGCAUCAACCCAAGGGAUAAUCUUCCAAAGGUAUAAUUUUACACUUAUUUAUUUGUGGAUGUAUGUGCAUGGUUGCACACUCAUGUUGCUAUGUCCGUAUGGAGGUCAGAGGACCACUUGUGGGAAUCUGUUAUUUCUCCUGUGUGGGUCCCAGAGCUCAAACCUAAGUUGUUACAUUUACCCAUCUCACCAGCUAUAAGAUAUAAUUUUUAGUAGAUACUAAGCUCAGAGUCAC